CAGCUCUCCGAGUGGUGUGGAUGUUUAUUGGGCCUAAAGCAUCCGUAGCUGGCUGAGUUAGUCCCCUGUUAAAUCCACCGAAUCAAUCGUUGGAUUGCGGGGGAUACUGCUCGGCUAGGGGACGGGAGAGGCAGACGGUAUUUCCGGGGUAAGGGUGAAAUCUUAUAAUCCCGGGAAGACCACCAGUGGCGAAGGCUGUCUGCUAGAACGCGCCCGACGGUGAGGGAUGAAAGCUGGGGUAGCGAACCGGAUUAGAUACCCGAGUAGUCC
Molecule: ribosomal RNA, 270 nt
Filed under: uncultured archaeon
Lineage: Archaea
Description: partial 16S ribosomal RNA
Rfam family: Archaeal small subunit ribosomal RNA
Source: RNAcentral